ACAAGGGCAGGCACAGGAGCCGUGGCUGGGAGAGGCGCUGCACCUCUCUCAACUGUGGCUCCUAUGCCUGCUCUUGU
Podarcis lilfordi (Lilford's wall lizard) is the source of this 77-nucleotide non-coding RNA. The record is from the annotation of a GenBank genome assembly. Lineage: Eukaryota; Metazoa; Chordata; Lepidosauria; Squamata; Lacertidae.